AACGAACGCUGGCGGCAGGCCUAACACAUGCAAGUCGAACGCCCUAGCAAUAGGGAGUGGCAGACGGGUGAGUAACGCGUGGGAACGUACCCUUCGGUUCGGAAUAACCCAGGGAAACUUGGACUAAUACCGGAUACGUGCGAGAGCAGAAAGAUUUAUCGCCGAAGGAUCGGCCCGCGUCCGAUUAGCUAGUUGGUGAGGUAAUGGCUCACCAAGGCGACGAUCGGUAGCUGGUCNGAGAGGAUGAUCAGCCACACUGGGACUGAGACACGGCCCAGACUCCUACGGGAGGCAGCAGUGGGGAAUAUUGGACAAUGGGCGCAAGCCUGAUCCAGCCAUGCCGCGUGAGUGAUGAAGGCCUCGGUU
RNAcentral lists this ribosomal RNA (366 nucleotides) under uncultured bacterium. Its description in RNAcentral is "bacterial SSU rRNA". It matches the Rfam family "Bacterial small subunit ribosomal RNA", at positions 29 to 424 of the family's 1533-position model. The record is from RNAcentral.